RNAcentral lists this ribosomal RNA (460 nucleotides) under uncultured bacterium. RNAcentral's name for it is "partial 16S ribosomal RNA". It matches the Rfam family "Bacterial small subunit ribosomal RNA", at positions 338 to 795 of the family's 1533-position model. The record is from RNAcentral.
CCUACGGGAGGCAGCAGUGAGGAAUAUUGGUCAAUGGGCGUAAGCCUGAACCAGCCAAGUCGCGUGCGGGAUGAAGGCUCUAUGGAUCGUAAACCUCUUUUAUAAGGGAAUAACGUGCGGGACGUGUCCCGUUUUGUAUGUACCUUAUGAAUAAGGAUCGGCUCACUCCGUUCCAGCAGCCGCGGUAAUACGGAGGAUCCGGGCGUUAUCCGGAUUUAUUGGGUUUAAAGGGUGCGUAGGCGGCCUUUCAAGUCAGCGGUGAAAUUCUGUGGCUCAACCAUAGAAUUGCAGUUGAAACUGGGGGGCUUGAGUAUGUGUGAGGCAGGCGGAAGGCGUGGUGUAGCGGUGAAAUGCCUAGAUAUCACGCAGAACCCCGAUUGCGAAGGCAGCCUGCCAAGGCAUGACUGACGCUGAUGCACGAAAGCGUGGGGAUCAAACAGGAUUAGAUACCCUAGUAGUC